Molecule: non-coding RNA, 111 nt
Organism: Acanthosepion pharaonis
Lineage: Eukaryota; Metazoa; Mollusca; Cephalopoda; Sepiida; Sepiidae
Source: the annotation of a GenBank genome assembly
UUACGGCCAUAUCACGUUGAAACACCGAUUCCCGUACAAUCACCGAAGUUAAGCAAUAUCGAGCCUGGUCAGUACAUAGAUGCGUGGCCGCUUGGAAAUAGCAGGUGAUGU